RNAcentral lists this long non-coding RNA (854 nucleotides) under Equus asinus (donkey). Its description in RNAcentral is "lncRNA (ENSEASG00005028674.1)". The record is from RNAcentral. Lineage: Eukaryota; Metazoa; Chordata; Mammalia; Perissodactyla; Equidae.
GAGUGAGAAUAGACUUUAAGAGAUCAGGGGAAGAAACAAGGAGACCAGCUGGGAGGCUGUUGCAGUAGUCAGAUUUCUUGAGUAUGGGAUGUGGGAGAAGAAGGAGGAGUCAAGGUUGACUUCAAGGUUUUUGACUUCAGCAGUUGGAACGAUGGAGCUGCCAUCAACAGAGAUGGGCAAGAUUGGAGGAGAACCAGAAACAAAUCUAUCACUAUCCGGAGAACCCUAUCUAAGAGGGAACUGCUCUGAAGAUAUUCAAUCCCCAAGGGUUUUGAAAGCAGAUGCCAGCUAUUCCAAAUGAGUCCUUGAAAGAGCUAAAUCACUUUCUGAUUUGAAGCAGCAAGUAAAAAAGUCUACACAUCUUUAAUGGAAAGUGUGUGGUUUCUAAUAACACUCCUGCUAUGUUGUGGAUGGACAGGAUGUCAGUUCCACCUGAGGCUGUAGAAGUCAAAGGGUAUUCUACAGAAAAUUGGCCCACUUGACCCAUUUGGGGUAGAUUUGAUUUCUGCCUUAGGAUUAAAACACAAAUAUCUGGAACUGAAAAGAGGGAAAAUCCAUAAAGCAAACAGUUAUUGAGUGACUUAUUUGCCAGACAGAGCGCUAGCUACUUUCCAUAUAUAUUACCUCGUUGAUCCUCACAACCACCCCACAAGGUGGAUACUGUGAAUAACAUAUCACAUAUGAAGAAAACGGCUCUGAGAGGUUAAGUCACUUGCCUGGGGUUGCAAAAGCUCAACAUUGGCAAGGAAUUGAACCUACGUCUCCCUGACUUCAGGUCCAAUUUGUUCAUUUACUUUGUUAUUGAAAUAUUGAUUCAUGAAAUAAAGUCGAUACUUGCUUUUAUGUUAGUUUCA